UACGGAGGAGGCAAGCGUUAUCCGGAAUUAUUGGGCGUAAAGCGUCCGCAGGUGGCACUUCAAGUCUGCCGUCAAAGACUGGGGCUUAACCCUGGAAAGGCGGUGGAAACUGAAGCGCUAGAGUGCGGUAGGGGUAGAGGGAAUUCCCGGUGUAGCGGUGAAAUGCGUAGAGAUCGGGAAGAACAUCGGUGGCGAAAGCGCUCUACUGGACCGCAACUGACACUCAGGGACGAAAGCUAGGGGAGCGAAUGGG
RNAcentral lists this ribosomal RNA (253 nucleotides) under uncultured bacterium. RNAcentral's name for it is "partial 16S ribosomal RNA". It matches the Rfam family "Bacterial small subunit ribosomal RNA", at positions 524 to 776 of the family's 1533-position model. The record is from RNAcentral.